UAAAUAAAUAAAAUCCGAUGAUGGGUUGUCAUUUUUCCCUCAUUUUCUCGAGAAAAUAAAUUUCCAAUCUUUACACUGAGAUUCUCUUCUCAAAAUUUCUUCCCACUUUAAUUUUUUCCCCUUCUCAUUGUUUGUUUCCACUGAUUUCUCCAUAUCCCCGUCGUGGAGAACGCUUUGACCUUUCUUAGAUUUGUUCUUCCAAUCCAAAGUUUUUAUCUUUUUUUCAGAUUUUUAAGUUGGAGCAUGGUUUUUAGUCAACUGAGUCUCUUCCAAAUCUUUAAAUUGUUCUAAAUCUUUUCUGGGUUGAAAAUUUUUGCAUUUUUGUGUCUGUGUCUGUUUGUGUGUGGUUGUUGGUGGAUAUGGAUUCUAAGGAUAUUAAUGGUUGCCUCAUGGAUAAACAUAAACCUGUGGUGACAUCUUCUUUGGUUUGUGAAAAGGUUGAAGAUCAUGUCAACGGAGAAGAUGAUAGUGAUUCCAAUUCUUUGUUGCCUCCUCGGAGAGGUGGCAUGUCCAGAAACUGUGAAAAGACUCGCCGGAAAGUGCAGUGGAAUGAUAGGAAUGGAAACAAGCUUGCUGAGGUGUUGGAAUAUGAGCCAAGUGAUGUCAGUGAUUCAGAAGAUGAGGAUUCAGAUUCUUGCAUCUGUGCAAUAAUGUAGAAACCAUCUUCAUAAUUGUCUCAAGCUCUGCUGGAUCAGGGGACAUUAUUGUGGCUUGCCAACCCUGAUUACAACCAAAACAUGACAACUUGACAGGUUUGAUCUGUGUUUUGAGGUGGGACCAGCAGUCCAAUAAACCAAGACAAGCAGUUUCUCAUGUCUACCAAGCCAUGGAUCCAGUUCAUCAUACUGGGUUUUGAGAUGAUUUCAUAGAGGGACUUUGGGAUCUUGGAUGUAGAUCAAAAUACACAUGAUAGAAAUAUGAUUUGGACAGCGGAGAUGGCUUUCAUGCUUACCCCCAUCUACUGAUACUGUAAAAGCUGUGCUCUCAAUGGCUUUGAUCAUAAUCUUUCUAAAUUAAAGAGGAGACACAACUAUUAAAUAUUUCCUUUUGUUUUUUUGGUUCCUCAAUAUAUGGAACAAGUUUUCAUGAUUUGGGUAUUCAUUCUCAAAUAAUUAUGCUGAAACAGUCCUUGUGUACUGCUUGCAUCUUUGCUGUUGAAUAAACGUUUAUAUUCAGUUAUACUUUUUAUGUGAAUCUACUCUUCAUAUCAA
Molecule: long non-coding RNA, 1211 nt
Organism: Glycine soja
Lineage: Eukaryota; Viridiplantae; Streptophyta; Magnoliopsida; Fabales; Fabaceae
Exons: 2
Source: RefSeq, a predicted model, not a curated record